GCCGACCUGAGAGGGUGAUCGGCCACACUGGGACUGAGACACGGCCCAGACUCCUACGGGAGGCAGCAGUAGGGAAUCUUCCGCAAUGGACGAAAGUCUGACGGAGCAACGCCGCGUGAGUGAUGAAGGUCUUCGGAUCGUAAAACUCUGUUGUCAGGGAAGAACAAGUUGUGUUCUAACAGGACAUGACCUUGACGGUACCUGACCAGAAAGCCCCGGCUAACUACGUGCCAGCAGCCGCGGUAAUACGUAGGGGGCAAGCGUUGUCCGGAAUUAUUGGGCGUAAAGCGCGCGCAGGCGGUCCUUUAAGUCUGAUGUGAAAGCCCACGGCUUAACCGUGGAGGGUCAUUGGAAACUGAGGGACUUGAGUACAGAAGAGGAGAGUGGAGUUCCACGUGUAGCGGUGAAAUGCGUAGAGAUGUGGAGGAACACCAGUGGCGAAGGCGACUCUCUGGUCUGUAACUGACGCUGAGGUGCGAAAGCGUGGGUAGCAAACAGGAUUAGAUACCCUGGUAGUCCACGCCGUAAACGAUGAGUGCUAGGUGUCAGGGGGUUUCCGCCCCUUGGUGCUGGAGU
RNAcentral lists this ribosomal RNA (576 nucleotides) under uncultured bacterium. Its description in RNAcentral is "bacterial SSU rRNA". It matches the Rfam family "Bacterial small subunit ribosomal RNA", at positions 286 to 852 of the family's 1533-position model. The record is from RNAcentral.